UACGUAGGGGGCUAGCGUUGUCCGGAAUCAUUGGGCGUAAAGCGCGUGUAGGCGGUUCGGUAAGUCCGCUGUGAAAGUCGGGGGCUCAACCCUCGAAUGCCGGUGGAUACUGCCGGGCUAGAGUCCGGAAGAGGCGAGUGGAACUCCUGGUGUAGCGGUGGAAUGCGCAGAUAUCAGGAAGAACACCGACGGCGAAGGCAGCUCGCUGGGACGGUACUGACGCUGAGGCGCGAAAGCGUGGGGAGCGAACAGG
RNAcentral lists this ribosomal RNA (253 nucleotides) under uncultured bacterium. Its description in RNAcentral is "partial 16S ribosomal RNA". It matches the Rfam family "Bacterial small subunit ribosomal RNA", at positions 524 to 776 of the family's 1533-position model. The record is from RNAcentral.